UUGUUUACCAAAAACAUCACCUCCAGCAUCCCUAGUAUUGGAGGCACUGCCUGCCCAGUGACAACCGUUAAACGGCCGCGGUAUCCUGACUGUGCAAAGGUAGCAUAAUCACUUGUUCUCUAAAUAGGGACUCGUAUGAAUGGCCACACGAGGGUUUUACUGUCUCUUACUUCCAAUCAGUGAAAUUGACCUUCCCGUGAAGAGGCGGAAUGCACUUUGAAG
RNAcentral lists this ribosomal RNA (222 nucleotides) under Bubalus bubalis (water buffalo). RNAcentral's name for it is "partial large subunit ribosomal RNA". It matches the Rfam family "Bacterial large subunit ribosomal RNA", at positions 1800 to 2078 of the family's 2925-position model. The record is from RNAcentral. Lineage: Eukaryota; Metazoa; Chordata; Mammalia; Artiodactyla; Bovidae.